AUACGGAGGAUCCGAGCGUUAUCCGGAUUUAUUGGGUUUAAAGGGAGCGCAGGCGGAGAUGCAAGCGUGACGUCAAAUUUCGGGGCUCAACCCCGUCUCGCGUCGCGAACUGCGUCCCUUGGUUGCGGGAAGGGGAGGCGGAACUCCUGGGGUAGCGGUGAAAUGCAUAGAUAUCACGAAGAACUCCGAUCGCGAAGGCAGCCUUCCGGCCCGUCAACGACGCUCAUGCUCGAAGGUGCGGGUAUCAAACAGGAUUAGAUACCCUGGUAGUCCGCACAGUAAACGAUGGACACCCGCGGUUUGGCCUGUAUGGCUGAGCCGCCAAGCGAAAGCGUUAAGUGUCCCACCUGGGGAGUACGCCGGCAACGGUGAAACUCAAAGGAAUUGACGGGG
RNAcentral lists this ribosomal RNA (393 nucleotides) under uncultured bacterium. RNAcentral describes it as "partial 16S ribosomal RNA". It matches the Rfam family "Bacterial small subunit ribosomal RNA", at positions 523 to 918 of the family's 1533-position model. The record is from RNAcentral.